This 1459-nucleotide long non-coding RNA is filed under the name Taeniopygia guttata (zebra finch). Its description in RNAcentral is "lncRNA (ENSTGUG00000020443.1)". Lineage: Eukaryota; Metazoa; Chordata; Aves; Passeriformes; Estrildidae. The record is from RNAcentral.
GGGUGGUUGUUGUAUGCAUUGUAAUUUGACUUCCUAUAUGAAUUCUUUUUAUCCUGGUGCACAGUGAGCAUGACAUGCUGGUGACUCUGCUUUUCCUUGGGUGUUACUGUACCAUGCAGUUAGGCAUUUUCCAAGCAGAAACCUUCUUUCCUUCACUCCACACCCCAAACUGCUGUGACUAUUGUCUCCAGGGAGAGGAACAGGGAAAAAUAAAGCCAGUAGCAAAUAGAGGCAAAUUGAAACCCUACUUCAGCAGACAAGGAUUACAGAAUCCACAGGCUCUGGAGGACUCGAAGCCUGACACUUUGGCAACAUUUCCAGCUGUUUGUGUCCACUUUACUUCAUUCCCCUGGGUGGCAGCGGAGCCAUUCAGAUGCUGGCUGGGCCCCAUGCCGUUCUUGCAGCGUGUGGGUGGUUCCCCCUUGGCAGAAGGCAAACCCUCUCCGGCACAGCCCCAGAUCCCAGGCGCAUUCCUCGGGAGCCGGCCGCUCCGAUUCCCUGAUUUACGAUGGAAAGAAAAAAAACCAAAUCCAAGAGUGGGAGGGGACAUGAAGAAAAGGGGUUGGGGCCCUGUGGAAUUACAUCUCUGUUUAUAGAAAAUUUAUAUUUUAAUUAGGAAAACCCAGCAACUGGGAAGAUUUUUAUUAUAAUGAUGGCUAUUAUAAACCUGGCGUUUAUACUUGGGGUGCAUUCAAAUUUUGUUUUGUAAGUCUGGUCUUAUAUAAGCCGUUUUUAAAGCUAUCAGAUUCUGUGACCUUUUUUAGGAAAAAACCAGCAGACCAUUUUAAGUUCCAGUUGUACAUAUGCUGCUUUUUGGUAGAACAACGUGAGCUGGGGGAAUGUUUUCUUUACUGUUUGGCUUUUUGCAACUGUAAUGUUCUCAUUCACAAUGGUGAAGGCCAAACUAUUUUUUUUCUUUUUUCAUGAAAUCUGAGAGGUUGAUUAACCACAGCCAGAGGGAGCGAGUGGACUGUUUCCCUAGGGUAUGGAAGACCUACAUUUAAUCCUAUCCUUGAACUGAACCUAAAGCUGUCUGGUUUGGGUACCUACCACUAUCAUUUCACAAAAGGAGAGAGAACAGAACAGGAUCACUUGGGCUCAAGGGAAGUAACCAGAGAUGCCAGUCCAGAUCUGAAGUUUUCCAAGGCAGAAAACAGCACCAAAACAGAAUGUUCCUGGAAAAAAAAGAAGUGGUUCCAGCUGGCAUGAACAUUUUCUACAAAUUCAGAAAAAGCAUUUCGUCAAAACCCUGGUGGGUUGGCUCUUUGUUUUUCAGGUGUACUGUGUAGCUUUAAACUUUUUCUUGUGUCUAACUUGGUCACAAUUGAACAGAGCAUGAGAAAUUAAUAGAUGGGUUUGAUUUAAAGGAUGGAAUAAGUAUAACUGGUUAAAUUAAUUUUACUCCUCUAGAUAGAGAGAGGAACUGAAAAUGUUUCAAUACAUCUAAACAAGUGACCCC